RNAcentral lists this ribosomal RNA (253 nucleotides) under uncultured bacterium. Its description in RNAcentral is "partial 16S ribosomal RNA". It matches the Rfam family "Bacterial small subunit ribosomal RNA", at positions 524 to 776 of the family's 1533-position model. The record is from RNAcentral.
UACGUAGGGUGCAAGCGUUAAUCGGAAUUACUGGGCGUAAAGGGAGCGUAGGCGGACAUUUAAGUCAGGGGUGAAAUCCCAGAGCUCAACUCUGGAACUGCCUCUGAUACUGGGUAUCUUGAGUAUGGAAGAGGUGAGUGGAAUUGCGAGUGUAGAGGUGAAAUUCGUAGAUAUUCGCAGGAACACCAGUGGCGAAGGCGGCUCACUGGUCCAUAACUGACGCUGAGGUGCGAAAGCGUGGGGAGCAAACAGG